RNAcentral lists this ribosomal RNA (497 nucleotides) under uncultured bacterium. RNAcentral describes it as "partial 16S ribosomal RNA". It matches the Rfam family "Bacterial small subunit ribosomal RNA", at positions 28 to 507 of the family's 1533-position model. The record is from RNAcentral.
GAUGAACGCUGGCGGCGUGCCUAAUACAUGCAAGUCGAGCGAACAGACGAGGAGCUUGCUCCUCUGACGUUAGCGGCGGACGGGUGAGUAACACGUGGAUAACCUACCUAUAAGACUGGGAUAACUUCGGGAAACCGGAGCUAAUACCGGAUAAUAUAUUGAACCGCAUGGUUCAAUAGUGAAAGACGGUUUUGCUGUCACUUAUAGAUGGUUCCGCGCCGCAUUAGCUAGUUGGUAAGGUAACGGCUUACCAAGGCGACGAUGCGUAGCCGACCUGAGAGGGUGAUCGGCCACACUGGAACUGAGACACGGACCAGACUCCUACGGGAGGCAGCAGUAGGGAAUCUUCCGCAAUGGGCGAAAGCCUGACGGAGCAACGCCGCGUGAGUGAUGAAGGUCUUCGGAUCGUAAAACUCUGUUAUUAGGGAAGAACAAAUGUGUAAGUAACUAUGCACGUCUUGACGGUACCUAAUCAGAAAGCCACGGCUAACUACGUG